This 1369-nucleotide ribosomal RNA is filed under the name uncultured bacterium. RNAcentral describes it as "bacterial SSU rRNA". It matches the Rfam family "Bacterial small subunit ribosomal RNA", at positions 28 to 1381 of the family's 1533-position model. The record is from RNAcentral.
GAUGAACGCUGGCGGCGUGCCUAAUACAUGCAAGUCGAGCGAACGGACGAGAAGCUUGCUUCUCUGAUGUUAGCGGCGGACGGGUGAGUAACACGUGGAUAACCUACCUAUAAGACUGGGAUAACUUCGGGAAACCGGAGCUAAUACCGGAUAAUAUUUUGAACCGCAUGGUUCAAAAGUGAAAGACGGUCUUGCUGUCACUUAUAGAUGGAUCCGCGCUGCAUUAGCUAGUUGGUAAGGUAACGGCUUACCAAGGCAACGAUGCAUAGCCGACCUGAGAGGGUGAUCGGCCACACUGGAACUGAGACACGGUCCAGACUCCUACGGGAGGCAGCAGUAGGGAAUCUUCCGNCAUGGGCGAAAGCCCUGACGGAGCACGCCGCGUGAGUGAUGAAGGUCUUCGGAUCGUAAACUCUGUUAUUAGGAAGAACAUAUGUGNUAGUAACUGUGCACAUCUUGACGGUACCUAAUCAGAAAGCCACGGCUAACUACGUGCCAGCAGCCGCGGUAAUACGUAGGUGGCAAGGCGUAUCCGGAAUUAUUGGGCGUAAAGCGCGCGUAGGCGGUUUUUUAGUCUGAUGUGAAAGCCCACGGCCCAAUUGUGGAGGGUCAUUGGAAACUGGAAAACUUGAGUGCAGAAGAGGAAAGUGGAAUUCCAUGUGUAGCGGUGAAAUGCGCAGAGAUAUGGAGGAACACCAGUGGCGAAGGCGACUUUCUGGUCUGUAACUGACGCUGAUGUGCGAAAGCGUGGGGAUCAAACAGGAUUAGAUACCCUGGUAGUCCACGCCGUAAACGAUGAGUGCUAAGUGUUAGGGGGUUUCCGCCCCUUAGUGCUGCAGCUAACGCAUUAAGCACUCCGCCUGGGGAGUACGACCGCAAGGUUGAAACUCAAAGGAAUUGACGGGGACCCGCACAAGCGGUGGAGCAUGUGGUUUAAUUCGAAGCAACGCGAAGAACCUUACCAAAUCUUGACAUCCUUUGACAACUCUAGAGAUAGAGCUUUCCCCUUCGGGGGACAAAGUGACAGGUGGUGCAUGGUUGUCGUCAGCUCGUGUCGUGAGAUGUUGGGUUAAGUCCCGCAACGAGCGCAACCCUUAAGCUUAGUUGCCAUCAUUAAGUUGGGCACUCUAAGUUGACUGCCGGUGACAAACCGGAGGAAGGUGGGGAUGACGUCAAAUCAUCAUGCCCCUUAUGAUUUGGGCUACACACGUGCUACAAUGGACAAUACAAAGGGCAGCGAAACCGUGAGGUCAAGCAAAUCCCAUAAAGUUGUUCUCAGUUCGGAUUGUAGUCUGCAACUCGACUACAUGAAGCUGGAAUCGCUAGUAAUCGUAGAUCAGCAUGCUACGGUGAAUACGUUCCCGGGUCU